GUUCCACAUGGUCUGCAGUGGCAGAUUUAAGGGGGCCAUAGCUCCCCCCUAAAACUUUAUAAUUUAGGGAUUACCUUCAACAAGAAAGUUAUCCCGGACUAAAUUAACCACGGCUACAAGUGAAAGUCUGACAACGAUAGGCUGAAGAGUGAUACAGGUUGUUCCACCGCACAACGUGAACCCUAACAUGACGUGGAUGACUAUGUUAAUCCUAAUGGUAAACAGUUUUGGAAUUUACUAUAGCGAAGGUGCAGGUUUCAGACACAAAAUUUCCAAAACCAUAACUUUACAUCAAUCCCAGGAAGCAUCCAUUAAAUCCCCUGGGUAUCCCACAAAGCAUUACGAGAAAGACACAGUCUACAUAUGGACCGUGACGGCCCCGGGAACCACGGAGGAGAUCACUAUCAAUAUAUUAGAUCUGGAUUUGCCAUACACUCCAGGAUACCCUUGUGACGACUAUUUGAAG
Ostrea edulis (European flat oyster) is the source of this 466-nucleotide long non-coding RNA. RefSeq lists it as uncharacterized. The transcript is spliced from 4 exons. The record is from RefSeq and is a predicted model, not a curated record. Lineage: Eukaryota; Metazoa; Mollusca; Bivalvia; Ostreida; Ostreidae.